UUACGGCCAUAUCACGUUGAAACACCAGUUCCCGUACGAUCAGCGAAGUUAAGCAACUUCGAACCUGGUCAGUAUCUAGAUGUGUGCCCACUUGGGGUAACAGGUGCUGUAAG
Molecule: non-coding RNA, 113 nt
Organism: Acanthosepion pharaonis
Lineage: Eukaryota; Metazoa; Mollusca; Cephalopoda; Sepiida; Sepiidae
Source: the annotation of a GenBank genome assembly